GAAAAAGCAUUGAAAGAGAAAAGUAGUUAUGAAAAGGAUCUUCAGAGAGUCGGUGGCUGGUGUGAACCGAUGACCUUGAUUAAUGAAACUCACUCUUGAGUGUCAAGCUGAAUUAUUUUGUAAGGUAAGCUUGAACGUUGGUCACGUUAUAACCAGAUUUUGGUUAGCCAAAAUCCCAAAGUUAGGUUAUUAACCUAAGAAGAAGGGUGGUACCGCGAAAAGUCUUUCGCCCCUUCA
This 237-nucleotide non-coding RNA is filed under the name Bacillus sp. (in: firmicutes). RNAcentral describes it as "Bacillus sp. T-box sequence". It matches the Rfam family "T-box leader". Rfam says of the family: Uncharged tRNA acts as the effector for transcription antitermination of genes in the T-box leader family. T-boxes are found upstream of many aminoacyl-tRNA synthetase genes and some amino acid biosynthetic genes usually in Gram-positive bacteria. Lineage: Bacteria; Bacillati; Bacillota; Bacilli; Caryophanales; Bacillaceae. The record is from RNAcentral.